RNAcentral lists this ribosomal RNA (274 nucleotides) under uncultured bacterium. RNAcentral describes it as "partial 16S ribosomal RNA". It matches the Rfam family "Bacterial small subunit ribosomal RNA", at positions 523 to 796 of the family's 1533-position model. The record is from RNAcentral.
CUACGGAGGGGGUUAGCGUUGUUCGGAAUUAUUGGGCGUAAAGAGCAUGUAGGCGGUCUGUUAAGUCUGGUGUGAAAGCCCGGGGCUCAACCCCGGAAGUGCAUUGGAUACUGGCAGACUUGAGUAUGGGAGAGGAAAGCGGAAUUCCGAGUGUAGGAGUGAAAUCCGUAGAUAUUCGGAGGAACACCAGUGGCGAAGGCGGCUUUCUGGACCAAUACUGACGCUGAGAUGCGGAAGCGUGGGGAGCAAACAGGAUUAGAAACCCCAGUAGUCC